Molecule: ribosomal RNA, 426 nt
Filed under: uncultured bacterium
Lineage: Bacteria
Description: partial 16S ribosomal RNA
Rfam family: Bacterial small subunit ribosomal RNA
Source: RNAcentral
GUGAGGAAUUUUCCGCAAUGGGCGAAAGCCUGACGGAGCAAUGCCGCGUGAAGGAUGAAGGCCUAUGGGUUGUAAACUUCUUUUCUCAGAAAAGAAUUAUGACGGUAUCUGAGGAAUAAGCAUCGGCUAACUCUGUGCCAGCAGCCGCGGUAAGACAGAGGAUGCAAGCGUUAUCCGGAAUGAUUGGGCGUAAAGCGUCUGUAGGUUGUUUAAAAAGUAUUCUGUCAAAGAUUAGGGCUUAACCCUAGAUAGGAAGAAUAAACUUUUAAGCUAGAGUUUGGUAGAGGCAGAGGGACUUCCCGGUGGAGCGGGGAAAUGCGUAGAUAUCGGGAGGAACACAAAAGGCGAAGGCACUCUGCUGGGCCAAUACUAACACUGAGAGACGAAAGCGAGGGGAGCAAAUGGGAUUAGAAACCCGAGUAGUCC